UUUUAGGCAAAGAUCCCCACGUUCACUUGCGAUUUCGCGCCACUGCCAGUGCUUAAAUUAAGCAGGCGAUGAAAAUACGAUGGGCAUGAGAAACUUGCGCAGUUGGCUUCAGUUGUUCUGCUGGCACGUUGAUGUUGAUCGGCAUUGUCAGCCUGGCGGGCCUGAUCGCGAUCAUGGACAGGAAGGAUCAAGAUCCAGAAUGGCCGUUUCGCACGCGAGAUUCGAGGACCCGGGCUAACCUCCUGUCAAAAUUCUGAAGGGUUCGCCCUCCGAAAUGCAUGUGUUGAAGGUGGUGAAGAAAGACCACGAGUGGGAAGAUUAAGUGCCAUGACUGACAAAAGGGAGGUCGAAAAAUUCGGCCCCGCUCGUGAAGUGCAACUGGCGCUCGUGAAUCCUUCUUGUCCGUUCCCCUCAGAGUUGAGAGCUCAUGUGGCAAACAUCGCUAGUGUUCGUCAAUGACACGGUUUUAGGGCGUUAUUUGAGUCUUAACCUACCAACAUCCAACCCCAGAUUGAAGCUCCAAAAACAUCAACUCUACCUCCUGAUGAAGUGGAAGACUACCCCAGA
Molecule: small RNA, 567 nt
Filed under: Histoplasma capsulatum var. duboisii H88
Lineage: Eukaryota; Fungi; Ascomycota; Eurotiomycetes; Onygenales; Ajellomycetaceae
Description: Histoplasma capsulatum H88 hypothetical RNA
Source: RNAcentral